Molecule: RNase P RNA, 392 nt
Filed under: Cellulosimicrobium arenosum
Lineage: Bacteria; Bacillati; Actinomycetota; Actinomycetes; Micrococcales; Promicromonosporaceae
Description: Bacterial RNase P class A
Rfam family: Bacterial RNase P class A
About the family: Ribonuclease P (RNase P) is a ubiquitous endoribonuclease, found in archaea, bacteria and eukarya as well as chloroplasts and mitochondria.
Source: Rfam by way of RNAcentral
CGAGUCGGUCGGGCGGCCGCGUCGGUGCGGGCCGCGAGGUCCGCCCGCCGAGGAACGUCCGGGCUCCGUAGGGCAAGGUGGUGGGUAACGCCCACCCGGGGCGACCCGCGGGACAGUGCCACAGAGAACAGACCGCCCGUCCUGGCUCCGGCCGGGUCGGGUAAGGGUGAAACGGUGGUGUAAGAGACCACCAGCGGGCCGGGUGACCGGUCCGGCUCGGUAAACCCCACCUGGAGCAAGGUCAGACAGGGAGCGUUCGAGGGCUGCUCGCCCGAGCUCCCGGGUAGACCGCUGGAGGCGUGCGGCAACGUACGUCGUAGAUGGAUGGCCGUCACCCGCGCGGGGGCAACCGCGCGCGGGGACAGAACCCGGCGUACAGACCGACUCGUCCG